Long non-coding RNA from Papaver somniferum (opium poppy), 3593 nucleotides. RefSeq lists it as uncharacterized. The record is from RefSeq and is a predicted model, not a curated record. Lineage: Eukaryota; Viridiplantae; Streptophyta; Magnoliopsida; Ranunculales; Papaveraceae. The transcript is spliced from 5 exons.
ACCAGCAACUAACACUAACGCACCAUCGAUGCUUGAUUUCUUGAUCGUUAUGACAAUUACCCGAUCUAUGACAAACAACAAUCAAAUUUCUCAGAAUGCUUGGAAUCACAACAGUUUUCUCCGCUGCUGCAAAGAAAUUUGGGGAUUCUUUUUUGGUAUGGUGAUGAUUUCACAUUCGAGAAAGGUAAUUUUAGGCUGAAUUUACAAAUUCCUCCACAUUCAUGCUAAGUUUCUCUUCAAAUAUCCUGAUUUUCCUGGUUUCUUGGUUUCUUAGGGUUUUCAUGUUUUCAAUCAUUUGGUUCUAUCCAAUACCCCAAAACCCUGAUUCAAGUUGUAUUAUUACUGUUACUACGUAUUCUUGGUUCCAUCUCUGAAAAUCCAAAGAAUUGAUCGAAUAUUGAGUUCAGAAGAGACACAGAAGUUCAAGCUGCGAGUUCAGAGAAAUUCUAUUUCUUGCUUCCUGCUGUUUUCACUGUUGAGGAUCAUGAAAGUUUAUUGAAGGAGAAACUAGAAUUCUUGCUGCUUCCAUAGAAGAUGUUUCUAAGGGUACUAAACAUUUCAAGAAAGAGGCCUUCGGUAGAUUUCAGUUAGAACUUAAUCAAUUUGGUCUAUUAAGUUAUACAAAUGCCAAUAUCAAACAACUUGUGGAUGUCAGAGAAGAUGAAUGUUUUCGUAUUUGGGUCAGAAGACUAAGAUGACAGCUGCAAAUCAAGCGAUGUUGUAGAUGCCAAGAUGGAGAAGAGCACUGUGUAAAGUUGUACUUGUUAGUGGAUCCACUCGAAUUUCUAAGGUUCAACAGUUUGUUGCAAGAUGUCACGACUAUUUUGUUCCCAAGAAACACCACCUUCCCCACUAAGAUUGAGCCUACAUACUCUGACAACAAGCCUGGUGUUGAUGCAAGUAUCUGAGGGUGAGAGAACCAGGACCAGAGAAAACAGCUUGUUGGUAAAUUUGAACUGUCAGCUCAGCUAUUUUUCUCCGGUGUCAUGUGGUGUCUCCUAACUUGCUGUGACAUUGAUGCCAAUGGUAUCAUUCCUGUUACUACAUAUUCUUGGUUCCAUCUCUGAAUUCCCAUCCCAAGAAUUUGAUCGAAUAUUGAGUUCAGAGGACACAAAAGUUCAAGCUGUGAGUACAGAGAAACUCUAUUUCUUGCUUCCUGCUGUUUUCACAGUUGAAGAUUAUGAAAGUUUAUUGAAGGAGAAACUAGAGUUCUUGUUGCUUCCAUCUCUGUGGAAGAUAUUUUUGAGGGUACUAAAGAUUUCAAGAAAGAGGUCUUUGAUAAAUUUCAGUUAGAACUUAAUCGAUUUGUUCUAUUGAUUUGCAAUGCUAACAUCGAACAACAGUGUGGAUGUCAAAGAGAUGAAUAUUUUUGGUAUUUAGGUCAGAAGACUAAAUGGUAGCUGCAAAUCAAGCCAAAAUCGAUGUUGUAGAUGCCAAGAUGGAGAAGAGCACUGCCUACAGUUGUCCUUGUUGGUGGAUCCACUAAAAUUUCUAAGGUUCAACAGUAUGUUGCAAGAUGUCAUGAAUAUAUUAUCCCAAGAAACACCACCAUCCCCACUAAGAAUUGUAGCAGGUUUUUUCACCAUACUCUGAUAACAAACCUGGUGUUUUGAUCCAAGUAUCCGAGGGUGAGAGAACCAGGACCAGAGAUAACAGCUUGUUGGUAAAUUUGAACUGUCAGCUAUUUCUCCAGCAUCAUGUGGUGUCUCCUAACUUGCUGUGACAUUGAUGCCAAUGGUACCUUUAGGUACCUCAUUCGAUACUCCUGUUUUUGACACCCUUCUCUUCAUGUUACCAAAUUUCUUAACCACUCUAUAUCCUUUCAAUACUUUAAAACAUUUCAAUCCUUCUGAAUACCUUAAAACAUUUGUAACUCAAUAUCUACUUUUCAAUACCUUAAAACAUUUCAAUCCUUCUGAAUACCUUAAAAAUUUUCAAACAUUUCUUAAGAUUUUUUUCAUAACCAGCUCCUAAAAACUUCUAAACCUGGUUACUAAACAUGCUGCACCUAACUGGUCCUAAAUCUUUAUUAAUAACCUGUUUCUGAAAUCUUUUCAUAGCUGGAUCCUAAACCAUUUUCAACAGCCAGUUGAUAACUUUCUUGCCCAAUUUCAGUAUGGUUCCUAGAAACUUUUUCAACAAGCAGUUCAUACCCCUCUUAAAACUUUGCCUACUCCCUCGCACACUGCCUCCUAACACCCUCUGCAAACCAUUUGUUAACCAUCUUCAAACUGGUCACUGAAAUAGUGAAAUCUUUCAGUUCCUAACCAUUUUUUUUGGAUAACUACAAUCAGCUCCACAAGCUAUUUUUUUGUUCUUUUGUUGCUCUUGCUAAGGUGGUGGCAAUUCUUCCAAGAAUGCUGGUUCUUGUUUUUGAGGGCUGCUUACAAGACUGCUUCAGGCUCCUCUUUCUUAGUCAAUUUGUGUUUCCAAACUAACUUGGUGCCAUGUUCAGUUUGAGGGGGUGCUUUUGCUUUUGUGUUUUUCUUUUUCAGUUCAAACUGAAUUUGUAUUAUUUUUCAGCUUGUUAUUUUUCUUUUGGGUGCUUUGGUUUUUCAAACUUACCUUUUGUCUGGUAAAGUUUGAGGGGGAAUGUAUUGGCUUAGUCCAGUAGUCUGUUAUGUCCUGAUAGGUGUCCUAUAAUAACAGUUCUCAUGUGUAAUAGACGUACCUGAUAAUUGCUUCUGUAAUAACAGUUCUUGUAACAUUUCUAAGAUUUCUGUAGCUUUAUCAGAGAUGCAUCAAGAAGUGAAGUGAUUUGGAUAAGUCCAGAUGUAGUAGCUUCUUCAGACAUUGAGAAGUUUUGUGGUGGAUUAAAACCUUGGAUUUCUGUUGCUUUGUCUUCUAAGAGAGAAGGCAAAUGACUAAAUAAGGAUUCUAACUGGUCUACUUACCUUGAAAUUCUUCAAGAGAGAUCUGAUUCGACCAUAUAUUGUACAGGUCGGAAGAGGAGCUUUUUGAACUUCAAGGCACAACCUUGGGCGUGAAAGAAUAUGAGCACAGGCAAUUCGUCAAGGUCGGACAAGAAUUUAUACUUCACAACAAGCAUCCCCUUCAAUUACAGCAGAUGACUUCUUUUGGGCAUUUGGUAUAAUCAGAUCAAGAGCAUUUUCCCGCCUUCUUGGUCAAGAUUUUGUUUCAGUUCCUCUAGCCGACUUGUGCAGGCCAGAAGAGGAGCUUCCUGAACUUCAAGGAACUCAACUAUUGAGCACAACCUUGGGUGUGAAAGAAUAUGUGCUCAGAGAUUUGUCAAGGUCGAAACAGAUGUCAUACUUCCCAACAAGCACGUUUUUCCUUCAGUUACAUCAGACGACUUCUUUUGGGCAUCUGGUAUAUACUCAAUCGAGCAUUUUCAUGCUUUCGUGGUCUAGAUCUUGUUUUAGUUCCUCUAGCAGACUUGGUAAGAUCUUAUCACUCUGUAAAUGUUUUUAAUGUAAGUAGAAUGUGCUGUAGUCUCUGUGGGUUAAUCGAAGAGUUAUGACAUCUCUGUGGGUUAAUCGAAGAGCUAUCUCAUAAAUGAAAUUUUAGUGUAUCAAGAUAUAAGACUUUUCUUAAAUCAAAUCUAAACAAGCUUAAGAUGGUUCACUCGGCAA